GUACGGCGAGUGAAGCGGCAACAGCUCAAAUUUGAAAUCUGGCUUCGGCCCGAGUUGUAAUUUGCAGAGGAAGCUUUAGGCGCGGCACCUCCUGAGUCCCCUGGAACGGGGCGCCACAGAGGGUGAGAGCCCCGUAUAGUUGGAUGCCUAGCCUGUGUAAAGCUCCUUCGACGAGUCGAGUAGUUUGGGAAUGCUGCUCAAAAUGGGAGGUAAAUUUCUUCUAAAGCUAAAUACCGGCCAGAGACCGAUAGCGCACAAGUAGAGUGAUCGAAAGAUGAAAAGCACUUUGAAAAGAGGGUUAAAUAGCACGUGAAAUUGUUGAAAGGGAAGCGCUUGUGACCAGACUUGCGCCGGGCUGAUCAUCCGGUGUUCUCACCGGUGCACUCUGCCCGGCUCAGGCCAGCAUCGGUUCUCGCGGGGGGAUAAAGGCCCUGGGAACGUAGCUCCUCCGGGAGUGUUAUAGCCCGGGGCGUAAUGCCCUCGCGGGGACCGAGGUUCGCGCUCUGCAAGGAUGCUGGCGUAAUGGUCAUCAGCGACCC
RNAcentral lists this ribosomal RNA (539 nucleotides) under Acrophialophora fusispora. RNAcentral describes it as "LSU rRNA". It matches the Rfam family "Eukaryotic large subunit ribosomal RNA", at positions 83 to 650 of the family's 3401-position model. Lineage: Eukaryota; Fungi; Ascomycota; Sordariomycetes; Sordariales; Chaetomiaceae. The record is from RNAcentral.